RNAcentral lists this transfer-messenger RNA (363 nucleotides) under Posidoniimonas corsicana. Its description in RNAcentral is "Planctomycetes bacterium KOR34 transfer-messenger RNA, SsrA". It matches the Rfam family "transfer-messenger RNA". From Rfam's summary of the family: Bacterial tmRNA, also known as 10Sa RNA or SsrA, is named for its dual tRNA and mRNA-like properties. Its role is to liberate the mRNA from a stalled ribosome. To accomplish this part of the tmRNA is used as a reading frame that ends in a translation stop signal. Lineage: Bacteria; Pseudomonadati; Planctomycetota; Planctomycetia; Pirellulales; Lacipirellulaceae. The record is from RNAcentral.
GGGGGCGAACUGGGUUCGACCGGAUAGCAGAAGCGUGCAGUUGCGUGCCGUGGUUGAUCGGUGGCCCACGUAAAAAGCCGAUUAAAACCUUCAAUUGCCGAAGGUAACUACGCUUUGGCUGCCUAGAAAUAGGCUGCCCGAGUCCCAGUUGGUCGCCGGAAUCGGCUGACGACUCGUAUUACCCCCUCCGGACCGCCGCGGGUCACUGCUGAGCACGCCCGCGGUUAAACAAAGUUCUCGGCUAGCGUUUGGGGAGCCCUGUCGGCGAGGCGCCCCUAGCGCGAAAUCAAACCCGCCGACUAUGCACGUAGACGCUCACGUGGAACUAUUGCGGGACGCGGGUUCGAUUCCCGCCGCCUCCAC